GGGUUUCACCAGAAGUAGGUAGCCUAACCGCAAGGAGGGCGCUUACCACGGUAUGACCGAUGAUUGGGGUGAAGUCGUAACAAGGUAGUCGUAGGUGAACCUGCAGAAGGAUCA
RNAcentral lists this ribosomal RNA (114 nucleotides) under uncultured eukaryote. RNAcentral's name for it is "partial small subunit ribosomal RNA". It matches the Rfam family "Bacterial small subunit ribosomal RNA", at positions 1412 to 1525 of the family's 1533-position model. The record is from RNAcentral.